This 681-nucleotide ribosomal RNA is filed under the name uncultured Caulobacterales bacterium. RNAcentral's name for it is "bacterial SSU rRNA". It matches the Rfam family "Bacterial small subunit ribosomal RNA", at positions 28 to 755 of the family's 1533-position model. The record is from RNAcentral. Lineage: Bacteria; Pseudomonadati; Pseudomonadota; Alphaproteobacteria; Caulobacterales.
AGCGAACGCUGGCGGCAGGCCUAACACAUGCAAGUCGAACGAACUCUUCGGAGUUACUGGCGGACGGGUGAGUAACACGUGGGAACGUGCCUUUAGGUUCGGAAUAACUCAGGGAGACUUGUGCUAAUACCGAAUGUGCCCUUCGGGGGAAAGAUUUAUCGCCUUUAGAGCGGCCCGCGUCUGAUUAGCUAGUUGGUGAGGUAAAGGCUCACCAAGGCGACGAUCAGUAGCUGGUCUGAGAGGAUGAUCAGCCACAUUGGGACUGAGACACGGCCCAAACUCNUACGGGAGGCAGCAGUGGGGAAUCUUGCGCAAUGGGCGAAAGCCUGACGCAGCCAUGCCGCGUGAAUGAUGAAGGUCUUAGGAUUGUAAAAUUCUUUCACCGGGGACGAUAAUGACGGUACCCGGAGAAGAAGCCCCGGCUAACUUCGUGCCAGCAGCCGCGGUAAUACGAAGGGGGCUAGCGUUGCUCGGAAUUACUGGGCGUAAAGGGAGCGUAGGCGGACAUUUAAGUCAGGGGUGAAAUCCCGGGGCUCAACCUCGGAAUUGCCUUUGAUACUGGGUGUCUUGAGUAUGAGAGAGGUGUGUGGAACUCCGAGUGUAGAGGUGAAAUUCGUAGAUAUUCGGAAGAACACCAGUGGCGAAGGCGACACACUGGCUCAUUACUGACGCUGAGGCUCG